GCCUGCCCAGUGACCAUGUGUUUAACGGCCGCGGUAUUCUGACCGCGCGAAGGUAGCGUAAUCACUUGUUUUCUAAAUAAAGACUAGUAUGAACGGCUACACGAGGACUUGACUGUCUCCCUCAUCCAAUCAGUGAAACUAAUCUCCUUGUGCAGAAGCGAGGAUAAACCCAUUAGACGAGAAGACCCUAUGGAGCUUUAAACUUAACAUUAACUUUACUAACCUUUUUUCCCAGGAAUCAACAGAUAAAUUUUUUAACUUAACGUAAGUUUUAGGUUGGGGCGACCGUGGAGAAAAAAAAAUCCUCCCUGAUGACUUCUAACCAAGAGCCACAGCUCUAAAUAUUAAGACGCUUAACUUCUAUUGACCCAUUUUUUGAUCAACGAACCAAGUUACCCUAGGGAUAACAGCGCAAUCCAUUUCAAGAGUCCCUAUCGACAAAUGGGUUUACGACCUCGAUGUUGGAUCAGGGUAUCCUAGUGGUGCAACCGCUACUAAUGGUUCGUUUGUUCAACGAUUAAAACCCU
This 527-nucleotide ribosomal RNA is filed under the name Megophrys sp. 13 JMC-2016. RNAcentral describes it as "partial 16S ribosomal RNA". It matches the Rfam family "Bacterial large subunit ribosomal RNA", at positions 1857 to 2597 of the family's 2925-position model. Lineage: Eukaryota; Metazoa; Chordata; Amphibia; Anura; Megophryidae. The record is from RNAcentral.